RNAcentral lists this ribosomal RNA (429 nucleotides) under Chloroflexota bacterium. Its description in RNAcentral is "Chloroflexi bacterium partial 16S ribosomal RNA". It matches the Rfam family "Bacterial small subunit ribosomal RNA", at positions 355 to 776 of the family's 1533-position model. Lineage: Bacteria; Bacillati; Chloroflexota. The record is from RNAcentral.
UGGGGAAUAUUGCACAAUGGGCGCAAGCCUGAUGCAGCCAUGCCGCGUGUAUGAUGAAGGCCUUCGGGUUGUAAAGCACUUUCAGCGGGGAGGAAGGCGAUAAGGUUAAUAACCUCAUCGAUUGACGUUACCCGCAGAAGAAGCACCGGCUAACUCCGUGCCAGCAGCCGCGGUAAUACGGAGGGUGCAAGCGUUAAUCGGAAUUACUGGGCGUAAAGCGCACGCAGGCGGUCUGUCAAGUCGGAUGUGAAAUCCCCGGGCUCAACCUGGGAACUGCAUUCGAAACUGGCAGGCUAGAGUCUUGUAGAGGGGGGUAGAAUUCCAGGUGUAGCGGUGAAAUGCGUAGAGAUCUGGAGGAAUACCGGUGGCGAAGGCGGCCCCCUGGACAAAGACUGACGCUCAGGUGCGAAAGCGUGGGGAGCAAACAGG